UGUGUAAGCGAAGCGAUAAGUGGAGCGGUGAAAGGCUCAGUAACGGGCGAUUUAUUUGAUCUCCUGGGACGGACAACAUGGGGAAACUGAUGGGAAAACGUCUAAGUUGCAGUUUAUUGAUUGUGACGUAAACCUUUGUGUGCAGGAGAGUAAGAUGCCAUCCUAUCAGUUAGUAAGUAGGGUAAGGGCCUACUUAGACGAAGACGGGUACGGGGAAUGAGGGUUUGAUUCCGGAGAAGGAGCCUGAGAGAUGGCUACCAGGACCAAGGUCAGCAGCAGGCGCGAAAAUUAUCGAAGCCCGCCUAGGGGCGAUAGUGAGGAGACGUGUAUACGAAGUACGUGUAAAGACCGUACUAAUAACUGGAGGUCAAGUCUGGUGCCAGCAGCCGCG
Molecule: ribosomal RNA, 391 nt
Filed under: Dictyocoela roeselum
Lineage: Eukaryota; Fungi; Microsporidia
Description: SSU rRNA
Rfam family: Microsporidia small subunit ribosomal RNA
Source: RNAcentral